CUAGCUUACGUGGAGGCGCUGGUGGGAUACUACCCUAGCUGUGUUGGCUUUCUAACCCGCACCACUUAUCGUGGUGGGAGACAGUGUCAGGCGGGCAGUUUGACUGGGGCGGUCGCCUCCUAAAAGGUAACGGAGGCGCUCAAAGGUUCCCUCAGAAUGGUUGGAAAUCAUUCAUAGAGUGUAAAGGCAUAAGGGAGCUUGACUGCGAGACCUACAAGUCGAGCAGGGUCGAAAGACGGACUUAGUGAUCCGGUGGUUCCGCAUGGAAGGGCCAUCGCUCAACGGAUA
This 288-nucleotide ribosomal RNA is filed under the name Staphylococcus aureus. RNAcentral's name for it is "partial 23S ribosomal RNA". It matches the Rfam family "Bacterial large subunit ribosomal RNA", at positions 2171 to 2458 of the family's 2925-position model. The record is from RNAcentral. Lineage: Bacteria; Bacillati; Bacillota; Bacilli; Caryophanales; Staphylococcaceae.